GGCGAACGCUGGCGGCGUGCUUAACACAUGCAAGUCGAACGGAAAGGCUCCAGCUUGCUGGAGUACUCGAGUGGCGAACGGGUGAGUAACACGUGGGUAAUCUGCCCUGCACUCUGGGAUAAGCCUGGGAAACUGGGUCUAAUACUGGAUAUGACCUUUCUCCUUAUGGGGUUUGGUGGAAAGUUUUUCGGUGUAGGAUGAGCCCGCGGCCUAUCAGCUUGUUGGUGGGGUGAUGGCCUACCAAGGCGACGACGGGUAGCCGGCCUGAGAGGGUGAUCGGCCACAUUGGGACUGAGAUACGGCCCAGACUCCUACGGGAGGCAGCAGUGGGGAAUAUUGCACAAUGGGCGGAAGCCUGAUGCAGCGACGCCGCGUGAGGGAUGACGGCCUUCGGGUUGUAAACCUCUUUCAGCAGGGACGAAGCGUAAGUGACGGUACCUGCAGAAGAAGCACCGGCUAACUACGUG
This 467-nucleotide ribosomal RNA is filed under the name uncultured bacterium. Its description in RNAcentral is "partial 16S ribosomal RNA". It matches the Rfam family "Bacterial small subunit ribosomal RNA", at positions 28 to 507 of the family's 1533-position model. The record is from RNAcentral.